Molecule: unclassified non-coding RNA, 249 nt
Filed under: uncultured Didymellaceae
Lineage: Eukaryota; Fungi; Ascomycota; Dothideomycetes; Pleosporales; Didymellaceae
Description: sequence contains ITS2
Source: RNAcentral
AACGCACAUUGCGCCCCUUGGUAUUCCAUGGGGCAUGCCUGUUCGAGCGUCAUUUGUACCUUCAAGCUCUGCUUGGUGUUGGGUGUUUGUCUCGCCUCUGCGUGUAGACUCGCCUUAAAACAAUUGGCAGCCGGCGUAUUGAUUUCGGAGCGCAGUACAUCUCGCGCUUUGCACUCAUAACGACGACGUCCAAAAGUACAUUUUUACACUCUUGACCUCGGAUCAGGUAGGGAUACCCGCUGAACUUAA